GACGAACGCUGGCGGCGUGCUUAACACAUGCAAGUCGAACGGAAAGGCCCUGCUUUUGUGGGGUGCUCGAGUGGCGAACGGGUGAGUAACACGUGAGUAACCUGCCCUUGACUUUGGGAUAACUUCAGGAAACUGGGGCUACUACCGGAUAGGAGCUCCUGCUGCAUGGUGGGGGUUGGAAAGUUUCGGCGGUUGGGGCUGGACUCGCGGCUUAUCAGCUUGUUGGUGGGGUAUUGGCUUACCAAGGCUUUGACGGGUAGCCGGCCUGAGAGGGUGACCGGCCACAUUGGGACUGAGAUACGGCCCAGACUCCUACGGGGGGCAGCAGUGGGGAAUAUUGCACAAUGGGCGGAAGCCUGAUGCAGCAACGCCGCGUGCGGGAUGACGGCCUUCGGGUUGUAAACCGCUUUCGCCUGUGACGAAGCGUGAGUGACGGUAAUGGGUAAAGAAGCACCGGCUAACUACGUG
RNAcentral lists this ribosomal RNA (468 nucleotides) under uncultured bacterium. RNAcentral's name for it is "partial 16S ribosomal RNA". It matches the Rfam family "Bacterial small subunit ribosomal RNA", at positions 28 to 507 of the family's 1533-position model. The record is from RNAcentral.